AGAGUUUGAUCCUGGCUCAGAUUGAACGCUGGCGGCAGGCCUAACACAUGCAAGUCGAGCGGUAGAGAGAAGCUUGCUUCUCUUGAGAGCGGCGGACGGGUGAGUAAUGCCUAGGAAUCUGCCUGGUAGUGGGGGAUAACGUCCGGAAACGGACGCUAAUACCGCAUACGUCCUACGGGAGAAAGCAGGGGACCUUCGGGCCUUGCGCUAUCAGGUGAGCCUAGGUCGGAUUAGCUAGUUGGUGGGGUAAUGGCUCACCAAGGCGACGAUCCGUAACUGGUCUGAGAGGAUGAUCAGUCACACUGGAACUGAGACACGGUCCAGACUCCUACGGGAGGCAGCAGUGGGGAGUAUUGGACAAUGGGCGAAAGCCUGAUCCAGCCAUGCCGCGUGUGUGAAGAAGGUCUUCGGAUUGUAAAGCACUUUAAGUUGGGAGGAAGGGCAGUAAAUUAAUACUUUGCUGUUUUGACGUUACCGACAGAAUAAGCACCGGCUAACUCUGUGCCAGCAGCCGCGGUAAUACAGAGGGUGCAAGCGUUAAUCGGAAUUACUGGGCGUAAAGCGCGCGUAGGUGGUUCGUUAAGUUGGAUGUGAAAUCCCCGGGCUCAACCUGGGAACUGCAUUCAAAACUGACGAGCUAGAGUAUGGUAGAGGGUGGUGGAAUUUCCUGUGUAGCGGUGAAAUGCGUAGAUAUAGGAAGGAACACCAGUGGCGAAGGCGACCACCUGGACUGAUACUGACACUGAGGUGCGAAAGCGUGGGGAGCAAACAGGAUUAGAUACCCUGGUAGUCCACGCCGUAAACGAUGUCAACUAGCCGUUGGGAGCCUUGAGCUCUUAGUGGCGCAGCUAACGCAUUAAG
This 861-nucleotide ribosomal RNA is filed under the name uncultured bacterium. RNAcentral describes it as "bacterial SSU rRNA". It matches the Rfam family "Bacterial small subunit ribosomal RNA", at positions 8 to 864 of the family's 1533-position model. The record is from RNAcentral.